GAUGAACGCUGGCGGCGUGCCUAAUACAUGCAAGUCGAGCGAACGGACGAGAAGCUUGCUUCUCUGAUGUUAGCGGCGGACGGGUGAGUAACACGUGGAUAACCUACCUAUAAGACUGGGAUAACUUCGGGAAACCGGAGCUAAUACCGGAUAAUAUUUUGAACCGCAUGGGUCAAAAGUGAAAGACGGUCUUGCUGUCACUUAUCGAUGGUUCCGCGCUGCAUUAGCUAGUUGGUAAGGUAACGGCUUACCACGGCAACGAUGCAUAGCCGACCUGAGAGGGGGAUCGGCCACACUGGAACUGAGACACGGUCCAGACACCUACGGGAGGCAGCAGUAGGGAAUCUACCGAAAUGGGCGGAAGCCUGCCGGAGCAACGCCGGGUGGGUGAUGAAGGUCUUCGGAUCGUAAAACUCUGUUAUUAGGGAAGAACAUAUGUGUAAGUAACUGUGCACGUCUUGACGGUACCUAAUCAGAAGGCCACGGCUAACUACGU
RNAcentral lists this ribosomal RNA (496 nucleotides) under uncultured bacterium. RNAcentral's name for it is "partial 16S ribosomal RNA". It matches the Rfam family "Bacterial small subunit ribosomal RNA", at positions 28 to 506 of the family's 1533-position model. The record is from RNAcentral.